GGGCGGACUCGGGGGCAGGCCCCAAGGGGCCCAGACCUUGAUCUGUGUCAGGGGCACCACAAUUUCUGAUGGAAGCCCUGAUCAGGGGAUAUGAUUGCUAUGAAGGGGUGUACAAGGCCUGCAACAAACUCUAGUUAGUAAAUGUCAACGUAAAAUCCAUAUGAAUGUCAGUACCAAAGUUUACCAGCAGAACAUUUCCCAGAGCAUAACACUGCC
Molecule: non-coding RNA, 216 nt
Organism: Pelobates cultripes (western spadefoot toad)
Lineage: Eukaryota; Metazoa; Chordata; Amphibia; Anura; Pelobatidae
Source: the annotation of a GenBank genome assembly